UACGUAGGGUGCGAGCGUUAAUCGGAAUUCCUGGGCGUAAAGCGUGCGCAGGCGGUGAUGUAAGUCAGGUGUGAAAUCCCCGGGCUUAACCUGGGAACUGCAUUUGUGACUGCAUCGCUGGAGUGCGGCAGAGGGGGAUGGAAUUCCGCGUGUAGCAGUGAAAUGCGUAGAUAUGCGGAGGAACACCGAUGGCGAAGGCAAUCCCCUGGGCCUGCACUGACGCUCAUGCACGAAAGCGUGGGGAGCAAACAGG
This 253-nucleotide ribosomal RNA is filed under the name uncultured bacterium. RNAcentral describes it as "partial 16S ribosomal RNA". It matches the Rfam family "Bacterial small subunit ribosomal RNA", at positions 524 to 776 of the family's 1533-position model. The record is from RNAcentral.